GAUCAAGUGUCUGAAGGGCAUUUGGUGGAUGCCUUGGCAUGCACAGGCGAUGAAGGACGUGAUACGCUGCGAUAAGCGUCGGGGAGCUGCGAAUAAGCUUUGAUCCGGCGAUUUCCGAAUGGGGCAACCCACUUUCGACUACCGUUAAGUUCUAACCGUUGAGCCGUUGAUGGCCCGAGAGGGUGAUCUGCGGUCUUUGAUGUUGGCGCACUUGCCGUGAUGGCGAGUGUGGCAGCCACAAAGGCCGACCGGCCGUCGGGCCUUAUGGCCCGCCCUCGCGGAGCCGAUCGCGUAGCGAUCUGGCGUGAGCGGCUAGGAUUAACGGUAGUCAGUGAAAGUAUCUUUGGUCUGAAUCCAUAGGGUCAAAGAAGCGAACCCGGGGAACUGAAACAUCUCAGUACCUGGAGGAAAGGACAUCAACCGAGACUCUGUUAGUAGCGGCGAGCGAACGCGGACCAGGCCAGUGGUUUUGAUUGAACAAGCUGAAGACGUUGGAAAGCGUUGCGAGAUUGGGUGACAGCCCCGUAGGCGUAAUUUUGAUCAAGAUCCUUGAGUAGGGCGGGACACGUGAAAUCCUGUUCGAACAUGGGGGGACCACCCUCCAAGCCUAAGUACUCGUGCAUGACCGAUAGCGAACCAGUACCGUGAGGGAAAGGUGAAAAGCACCCCGACGAGGGGAGUGAAAGAGAACCUGAAACCGAAUGCCUACAAACAGUCGAAGCCCGGUCUUCAAAUUCUUCGAAUUUGAAGCCGGUUUCCUUUUAUUGCUUGGCCUCAAGCGCCGGCGGUCGCAUCCGCGACCUUGGCUAACGCGCCAUCAGGCGCGACGGCCGGUCGGCCUUUGGCUGUCCUUGCCAUGUGCGACCCUUUCGGGGUCGCGGGCGCGGACGGUGGCUGACGAGGGCGUCUUCGGGCGUCUUGCGGGCAAGCUUGAGUGUGGCAGGUCCGAGCGCGUCGCCGAUAGGCGACACAUCGCGCGGACAGCCCCGCUUUGAACGAAGCGGCGUCCCGAACGGGACGAAAGCCGAGCGGCCGGAUGGCCGCGCUGGCGACUGAAGCCAAAGCAAUAACAAGGGAGCACGGUCAACAAAUGCGAAGCAUUUGAUGACCGGGUGACGGCGUACCUUUUGUAUAAUGGGUCAGCGACUUAGUCUGGCGAGCAAGCUUAAGCCGAUAGGUGUAGGCGCAGCGAAAGCGAGUCUGAACAGGGCGUUCAGUUCGUCGGAUUAGACCCGAAACCGAGUGAUCUAGCCAUGCGCAGGCUGAAGGUGCGGUAACACGCACUGAAGGGCCGAACCCAUAUCUGUUGCAAUAGAUCGGGAUGACGUGUGGCUAGGGGUGAAAGGCCAAUCAAACUCGGAAAUAGCUGGUUCUCCGCGAAAUCUAUUUAGGUAGAGCGUCGGAUGAAGACCCUCGGGGGUAGAGCACUGGAUGGGCUAUGGGGACUCACCGUCUUACUGAUCCUAACCAAACUCCGAAUACCGAGGAGUCCUAUCCGGCAGACAGACGGCGGGUGCUAACGUCCGUCGUCGAGAGGGCAACAACCCUGACCUCCAGCUAAGGUCCCCAAGUCAUGGCUAAGUGGGAAAGGAUGUGAAGAUCCCAAAACAACCAGGAUGUUGGCUUAGAAGCAGCCAUCAUUUAAAGAAAGCGUAACAGCUCACUGGUCUAAACAAGGGUCUUUGCGCCGAAAAUGUACCGGGGCUGAAGCCAUGCACCGAAGCUGAGGACUUGUCUUAUGGCAAGUGGUAGCGGAGCGUUCCAUAAGCCUGUGAAGCGGUAUCCGUGAGGAGCCGUGGAGGUAUUGGAAGUGCGAAUGCUGACAUGAGUAACGAUAAAGGGAGUGAGAGACUCCCUCGCCGAAAAUCCAAGGGUUCCUGCUUAAAGUUAAUCUGAGCAGGGUUAGCCGGCCCCUAAGCCGAGGCCGAAAGGCGUAGGCGAUGGGAACCACGUUUAAUAUUCGUGGGCCUGAUGGAAAGUGACGGAUCGCGUGUAUCGUAAUCUCUUAUUGGAUUGAGGUUGCGGUGAAGCGGUUCCAGGAAAGAGCUCCAUCUUAUAGACCGUACCCGAAACCGACACAGGUGGAUUGGUAGAGAAUACCCAGGCGCUUGAGAGAACUGUGCUGAAGGAACUCGGCAAAUUGCACGCGUAACUUCGGAAGAAGCGUGACCUCCAUUUACGCAAGUAGGUGGGGGUGGCACAGACCAGGGGGUAGCGACUGUUUAUCAAAAACACAGGGCUCUGCGAAGUCGCAUAAGACGACGUAUAGGGUCUGACGCCUGCCCGGUGCUGGAAGGUUAAGAGGAGAGGUUCACGCCUUGAAUCGAAGCCCCAGUAAACGGCGGCCGUAACUAUAACGGUCCUAAGGUAGCGAAAUUCCUUGUCGGGUAAGUUCCGACCUGCACGAAUGGCGUAACGACUUCCCCGCUGUCUCCAGCACAGACUCAGUGAAAUUGAAUUCCCCGUGAAGAUGCGGGGUUCCUGCGGUCAGACGGAAAGACCCCGUGCACCUUUACUAUAGCUUUACACUGGCAUUCGUGUCGGCACGUGUAGGAUAGGUGGUAGGCUUUGAAGCGUGGACGCCAGUUUGCGUGGAGCCAUCCUUGAAAUACCACCCUUGCCGUCAUGGAUGUCUAACCGCGGUCCGUCAUCCGGAUCCGGGACAGUGUAUGGUGGGUAGUUUGACUGGGGCGGUCGCCUCCUAAAGCGUAACGGAGGCGCGCGAUGGUGGGCUCAGAGCGGUCGGAAAUCGCUCGUCGAGUGCAAUGGCAUAAGCCCGCCUGACUGCGAGACAGACAAGUCGAGCAGAGACGAAAGUCGGUCAUAGUGAUCCGGUGGUCCCCGAGUGGAAGGGCCAUCGCUCAACGGAUAAAAGGUACGCCGGGGAUAACAGGCUGAUGACCCCCAAGAGUCCAUAUCGACGGGGUUGUUUGGCACCUCGAUGUCGGCUCAUCGCAUCCUGGGGCUGGAGCAGGUCCCAAGGGUUUGGCUGUUCGCCAAUUAAAGCGGUACGUGAGCUGGGUUCAGAACGUCGUGAGACAGUUCGGUCCCUAUCUGCCGUGGGUGUCGGAGCAUUGACAGGAUCUGUCCCUAGUACGAGAGGACCGGGAUGGACGGAUCUCUGGUGGACCUGUUGUGGCGCCAGCCGCAUUGCAGGGUAGCUAUAUCCGGUCGGGAUAACCGCUGAAGGCAUCUAAGCGGGAAACCCACCUGAAAACGAGUGCUCCCUAUCAGGGCCGUGGUAGACCACCACGUCGAUAGGCCGGGUGUGGAAGCAGGGCAACCUGUGAAGCUUACCGGUACUAAUCGCCCGAACGAACUUGAUCGU
Molecule: ribosomal RNA, 3328 nt
Organism: Fulvimarina pelagi HTCC2506
Lineage: Bacteria; Pseudomonadati; Pseudomonadota; Alphaproteobacteria; Hyphomicrobiales; Aurantimonadaceae
Rfam family: Bacterial large subunit ribosomal RNA
Source: Rfam